This is a long non-coding RNA of Quercus robur (English oak), 791 nucleotides long. RefSeq lists it as uncharacterized. NCBI's taxonomy places the organism in Eukaryota, Viridiplantae, Streptophyta, Magnoliopsida, Fagales, Fagaceae. The transcript is spliced from 3 exons. The record is from RefSeq and is a predicted model, not a curated record.
CCAAAAAGGGCGUUUUCAAAAACGCUGAACCCAGUUUUGCGUUUGGUAAGCUCAAAACGCAACUUUUUUAUAAAAGUUGCGUUUUGAACUUUUAUAAAAUGUGAGGGCAAAACGCGGAAGGAAAAUGGUGAGGCAGCGGUCCAUAAAUCAAAACGCGCUAUGCGCGUUUUGUCAUAUUACCGUUGCAAUGGGCAAAAAGACCAUUUUACCCAGCAGAAAGUCGCCCCUCAUCUCUCAUCUCUGCUCUCCCUUCGCAUUUUACCUAGCAGAAAGUCGCCCCUCCAUCUCUUCUCUCUGCCUUGCUCUGCCUUCAGUGUGGGAAAAAAAAUUUCGGAUCUUGCUAUGAAUGGUGCUACUAUAUUUCCUUAAACAAAUUCAAGUUUUCCAAAAGUGCAAGUGCCUAGGAAGGUGGUCAAUGUGUGCUCGUUUAUGCUUAUGUAUUGAUGUCAACAUAUAACCUGGAAAAUAGAGAAAGUGUCAAAGACGAGGAUUCGAUUGCUAAGUGUCAAAGACGAGAAAGUGUCAACAGACCCUGCGAUGGUGGUUCUUCGUGAUUCCAUUGCUAAUUCCAUUUGGGGGGAUAAUAAUUAGUAGUUGUCUUUUUUAUAAUAUCCUGUAGUACAAUUUAAACUUGGGUUAUUGGUAUGUAUUUUAUCAUAUUUUUUACAUUUUUGUGUUGUACAAUUUAAACUUAGAUUAUUGAUAUGUAUUUUAUAUGUUUUUACAUUUUUAUGUAGUACAAUUUAAACUUAGAUUAUUGGUGUAUAUUUUAUCAUCUUUUUACAUUUUUA